UGGGGAAUUUUGCACAAUGGGGGAAACCCUGAUGCAGCGACGCCGCGUGAUUUAGAAGGCCUUCGGGUUGUAAAAAUCUUUUUUAUGGGAUGAAAAUGACAGUACCAUAAGAAUAAGGUCCGGCUAAAUACGUGCCAGCAGCCGCGGUAAUACGUAUGGACCGAGCGUUGUCCGGAAUCAUUGGGCGUAAAGGGUACGUAGGCGGCCCAGUAAGUUAGAAGUGAAAUAAUAUAGCUCAACUAUAUAAAGCUUUUAAAACUGCUAGGCUUGAGACAUGGAAGGGAAAGUGGAAUUCCUAGUGUAGCGGUGAAAUGUGCAGAUAUUAGGAAGAAUACCGGUGGCGAAGGCGACUUUCUGGUCAUCAUCUGACGCUGAGGUACGAAAGCGUGGGUAGCAAACAGG
RNAcentral lists this ribosomal RNA (402 nucleotides) under Bacteroidota bacterium. Its description in RNAcentral is "Bacteroidetes bacterium partial 16S ribosomal RNA". It matches the Rfam family "Bacterial small subunit ribosomal RNA", at positions 355 to 776 of the family's 1533-position model. The record is from RNAcentral. Lineage: Bacteria; Pseudomonadati; Bacteroidota.